Molecule: ribosomal RNA, 374 nt
Filed under: uncultured organism
Description: partial 16S ribosomal RNA
Rfam family: Bacterial small subunit ribosomal RNA
Source: RNAcentral
GUAGGUGGCAAGCGUUGUCCGGAAUUAUUGGGCGUAAAGCGCGCGCAGGUGGUUCUUUAAGUCUGAUGUGAAAGACCCCCGGGCUCAACCGGGGAGGGUCAUUGGAAACUGGGGAACUUGAGUGCAGGAGAGGAAAGUGGAAUUCCACGUGUAGCGGUGAAAUGCGUAGAUAUGUGGAGGAACACCAGUGGCGAAGGCGACUUUCUGGCCUGUAACUGACACUGAGGCGCGAAAGCGUGGGGAGCAAACAGGAUUAGACACCCUGGUAGUCCACGCCGUAAACGAUGAGUGCUAAGUGUUGGGGGGUUUCCGCCCCUCAGUGCUGCAGCUAACGCAUUAAGCACUCCGCCUGGGGAGUACGGUCGCAAAGACUG